Molecule: long non-coding RNA, 436 nt
Organism: Oreochromis aureus
Lineage: Eukaryota; Metazoa; Chordata; Actinopteri; Cichliformes; Cichlidae
Source: Ensembl
CAUGCUGAGCAGGUAAACAGGAUUAGUCUGGGGUAGUAUUGCAAUUACACAAGCGCUAGCAAAUGGAUGGGUAAUGCUAAGUGGCAGCAUGUGUGACCAUCUCUCUUAAAAUAUCCAGCUGUAGUCACAGCCUUUAAACUCGAUAUUAUGAAAGUGAAGCUUCUGUAGGCCACAACCCGUUCUCCUCAACUCAGAAAGAUGGUCCUCGUGUUGUAGUGGUCAAAGUCCGCCAGCGCCAAUACAAAGCAUCUUUCAGUUUUGCUUUUCCAGCUGGCUGCUGAUUAAACCAAAAUACCACCAGUUCUUGAUGUCCACUGGGAUUUUCCAGCUGUAUGAAGUAUUCCCAUUGGUGAUCCAACAGAAAAUUAUUUUAUCAACCAGGUGCAGCAGUGUUUCAGGCACAGGCAUGGCGGAGACUGCUGACAGUGAGGCAGAC